Molecule: ribosomal RNA, 490 nt
Filed under: uncultured bacterium
Lineage: Bacteria
Description: partial 16S ribosomal RNA
Rfam family: Bacterial small subunit ribosomal RNA
Source: RNAcentral
AUUGAACGCUGGCGGCAGGCCUAACACAUGCAAGUCGAACGGUAACAGAAAGCAGCUUGCUGCUUUGCUGACGAGUGGCGGACGGGUGAGUAAUGUCUGGGAAACUGCCUGAUGGAGGGGGAUAACUGCUGGAAACGGUAGCUAAUACCGCAUAACGUCGCAAGACCAAAGAGGGGGACCUUCGGGCCUCUUGCCAUCGGAUGUGCCCAGAUGGGAUUAGCUAGUAGGUGGGGUAACGGCUCACCUAGGCGACGAUCCCUAGCUGGUCUGAGAGGAUGACCAGCCACACUGGAACUGAGACACGGUCCAGACUCCUACGGGAGGCAGCAGUGGGGAAUAUUGCACAAUGGGCGCAAGCCUGAUGCAGCCAUGCCGCGUGUAUGAAGAAGGCCUUCGGGUUGUAAAGUACUUUCAGCGGGGAGGAAGGGAGUAAAGUUAAUACCUUUGCUCAUUGACGUUACCCGCAGAAGAAGCACCGGCUAACUCCGUG